CAACGCCCGACCAUUACACAAGCUACCGUCAAAUACACGUAGUGAGUACGUUGCAUCGUGCCUUAGACCGAUAACAGGGUUAACGUUGUCCCUUGACAAUUAUUCGUACACGAGUCCACAUAACAGCGUGCAUUAUACGAACGCUUUGAUAUCUGUCAUUGGUAACGCGACGCGCAAACGUCGUGUUGUUGUGCCGUGUAUAAGUCUGUUCCUCCGCAGCCACACGAAUGAUAACGAGCUUGUCGCGUGUGUUUGAUUCACCGCGUUGGCGGAUACGAGUCUAGUGAAUUUGGCCAGACCUAUGUCACUCGAUACACAAAAGCAUUUGCUCAAUUUACGAGCUUGCAUGGAAGCUUCCUGCGAGUUAAUCGUUGAUAAAUAGCCGGUGAAAGAAGAGAGUACAAACGACUGUUUGAUUGAUUAUUUGCAAAGUGUAGACACGUAGGAUAACUUAAUUUCCAGCAAUGGAUUAUACGAAUUGGAUAAUUACAGCGAUUGAUAAUUACUUUGCCAAUCUUUUUUCACAACUCUUUUGCAAAAUUGUUUUUGCAAAUUCGUAGAUUGUGUAUUUUUUUUUUUUUUUCGUUUAUUUACGUCAAAUGAUAUUAUGUAGAUCUCUUUUUCCAUCUCGAUUUAACAAUCUUACUCGCAAUAAGCAAUCUCGCAGCACUAUUUUCACGUUAUUGGUAUUUUUAAUGCAAGCUUUAUCCUCUUGACGUAAAAUCGAUAAUGUUAACCCUGAAAUGGUAUACCCAAGUUUUUUAUCGUGUCAAGAUACGAAUUUUUCAAGAAACUGUAAUUAUACGUAUCAUGUCGAUAUGUAUCUUGAUAAUCAAAAAUCAUCGUUUAUUUAUUAAAAUAAUGAAAAUUGAUAUAAUAUUAAAGAUAAAUCAAUAAUCAAAAUAAUAGAGGAAGAUAUAGAUAUUUAUAAAUGUUAAUAUUUAUCUCGAAGUUACUCCAUUUUACUUAGUUCCAGCAAUAUCCUUUCAUGAGGGAGAUCUAAGCACAAGGCUAUGCUAUGCACGUAAUCAGCAAUACGUAUAUGCCGUGAUUGAUUAUGGAACGCAUAGGUAAUGCAAAUGUUAAAUAGAAUCAGAUUCAGGACCCCUAACAGGACACAUGCUAAUGCUUAAUGCAUUAAGGAACCUAUUCAUCGUAUAAUUAUUUGUCUAUUAAGAAAUAUUAAGUGAAUCUUCUUUCCAGAGAAAGGAUAAAUAAAAGUAUCUGCACUGAAAAUAUACCAAAUAUAAAAUCAUUAUUUAAGUAUGAACUAUGAACUAUUCCACUAAAUUGAAAAAUAAUGUAACAUUAUCUUUUGAAACCAAAUAAAAUAUUGUUAUUUAAAAAUUUCAAUAUUCUUCUUUUAAAGCGUCAAUGAAGAGAGUCUAACUAAUUCAAAUUACCAAUUAUAACCAGUCAUAUCAAUUUUUGUUAUUGUAUCAUAAACUGAAAUGAAAUAAAAUAAUAUUAAUUGCAA
Apis cerana (Asiatic honeybee) is the source of this 1477-nucleotide long non-coding RNA. RefSeq lists it as uncharacterized. Lineage: Eukaryota; Metazoa; Arthropoda; Insecta; Hymenoptera; Apidae. The record is from RefSeq and is a predicted model, not a curated record.